GUCCACGCUGUAAACGAUGAUCACUAGACGUCAGUUCGGCUCUGCUGAAUUGGUGUCGUAGCUAACGCGUUAAGUGAUCCGCCUGGGGAGUACGGUCGCAAGACUAAAACUUAAAGGAAUUGACGGGGGUCCGCACAAGCGGUGGAACAUGUGGUUUAAUUCGACACUACGCGAGGAACCUUACCUGGACUUGACAUGUUUUUGACAACCGUAGAAAUACGGCUUUCUAGGCUUCGGUUUAGACAAUUUCACAGGUGUUGCAUGGCUGUCGU
Molecule: ribosomal RNA, 272 nt
Filed under: uncultured bacterium
Lineage: Bacteria
Description: partial 16S ribosomal RNA
Rfam family: Bacterial small subunit ribosomal RNA
Source: RNAcentral